CAAUAGCGUAUAUUAAAGUUGUUGCGGUUAAAAAGCUCGUAGUUGGAUUUCUGCUGAGGACGAUCGGUCCGCCCUCUGGGUGAGCAUUGACUCGGCCUUGGCAUCUUCUUGGAGAACGCUACUGCACUUGACUGUGUGGUGCGGUAUCCAGGACUUUUACUUUGAGGAAAUUAGAGUGUUUCAAGCAGGCGCACGCCUUGAAUACAUUAGCAUGGAAUAAUAAGAUAGGACCUUGGUUCUAUUUUGUUGGUUUCUAGAGCUGAGGUAAUGAUUAAUAGGGAUAGUUGGGGGCGAUUCGUAUUUAACUGUCAGAGGUGAAAUUCUUAGAUUUGCGCUUGAAAACUACUGCGAAAGCAUUUGCCAAGGAUGUUUUCAUUAAUCAAGAACGAAAGUUAGGGGAUCGAAGAUGAUUAGAUACCGU
This 421-nucleotide ribosomal RNA is filed under the name uncultured eukaryote. RNAcentral describes it as "SSU rRNA". It matches the Rfam family "Eukaryotic small subunit ribosomal RNA", at positions 592 to 1018 of the family's 1831-position model. The record is from RNAcentral.